UAGAAGGCUGACCCCUUCACAGAAUUCAUGG
RNAcentral lists this non-coding RNA (31 nucleotides) under Mus musculus (house mouse). Lineage: Eukaryota; Metazoa; Chordata; Mammalia; Rodentia; Muridae. The record is from RNAcentral.